UACGUAGGGGGCUAGCGUUGUCCGGAAUCAUUGGGCGUAAAGAGCGUGUAGGCGGCCCGGUAAGUCCGCUGUAAAAGUCAAAGGCUCAACCUUUGAAUGUCAGUGGAUACUGCCGGACUAGAGUUCGGAAGAGGCGAGUGGAAUUCCCGGUGUAGCGGUGAAAUGCGCAGAUAUCGGGAGGAACACCUAUGGCGAAGGCAGCUCGCUGGGACGUUACUGACGCUGAGACGCGAAAGCGUGGGGAGCAAACAGG
This 253-nucleotide ribosomal RNA is filed under the name uncultured bacterium. Its description in RNAcentral is "partial 16S ribosomal RNA". It matches the Rfam family "Bacterial small subunit ribosomal RNA", at positions 524 to 776 of the family's 1533-position model. The record is from RNAcentral.